UGGUGCCAGCAGCCGCGGUAAUUCCAGCUCCAAUAGCGUAUAUUAAAGUUGCUGCAGUUAAAAAGCUCGUAGUUGAAUUUCGGGACCAUCAUGUCGGUCGUGCCUCGGUACGUACUGGCAUUGUUGGUUUCUCCCUUCUGACGAACCAUGAUGUCAUUAAUUUGGUGUCUUGGGGAAUCAGGACUGUUACUUUGAAAAAAUUAGAGUGUUUAAAGCAGGCUCACGCUUGAAUACAUUAGCAUGGAAUAAUGAAAUAGGACGUUUGAUUCUAUUUUGUUGGUUUCUAGGAUCGACGUAAUGAUUAAUAGGGAUAGUUGGGGGCAUUAGUAUUCAAUUGUCAGAGGUGAAAUUCUUGGAUUUAUUGAAGACUAACUACUGCGAAAGCAUUUGCCAAGGAUGUUUUCAUUAAUCAAGAACGAAAGUUAGGGGAUCGAAGACGAUCAGAUACCGUCGUAGUCUUAACCAUAAACUAUGCCGACUAGGGAUCGGAUGAUGUUAAUUUUUUAAUGACUCA
This 514-nucleotide ribosomal RNA is filed under the name uncultured Glomus. RNAcentral describes it as "SSU rRNA". It matches the Rfam family "Eukaryotic small subunit ribosomal RNA", at positions 562 to 1078 of the family's 1831-position model. The record is from RNAcentral. Lineage: Eukaryota; Fungi; Glomeromycota; Glomeromycetes; Glomerales; Glomeraceae.